CCCUUCUCUUCGGAGCAUCGGAGACAGGUGGUGCAUGGUUGUCGUCAGCUCGUGUCGUGAGAUGUUGGGUUAAGUCCCGCAACGAGCGCAACCCCUAUCUUCAGUAGCCAGCACGAAAGGUGGGCACUCUGGAGAGACUGCCAGGGACAACCUGGAGGAAGGUGGGGAUGACGUCAAAUCAUCAUGCCCCUUAUGACCAGGGCUACACACGUGCUACAAUGGCGUAAACAAAGGGAAGCGACCACGUGAGUGUAAGCGAAUCCCAAAAAUAACGUCUCAGUUCGGAUUGUAGUCUGCAACUCGACUACAUGAAGCUGGAAUCGCUAGUAAUCGCGAAUCAGAAUGUCGCGGUGAAUACGUUCCCGGGUCUUGUACACACCGA
This 382-nucleotide ribosomal RNA is filed under the name uncultured bacterium. Its description in RNAcentral is "bacterial SSU rRNA". It matches the Rfam family "Bacterial small subunit ribosomal RNA", at positions 1011 to 1393 of the family's 1533-position model. The record is from RNAcentral.